GUUAUACUUGGGUGAGAGUGGUCC
Molecule: unclassified non-coding RNA, 24 nt
Filed under: Dictyostelium discoideum
Lineage: Eukaryota; Evosea; Eumycetozoa; Dictyosteliales; Dictyosteliaceae
Source: RNAcentral